Molecule: microRNA, 22 nt
Filed under: Owenia fusiformis
Lineage: Eukaryota; Metazoa; Annelida; Polychaeta; Sabellida; Oweniidae
Also listed under: 1 other name
Description: Ofu-Mir-2-o153_3p (mature (guide))
Source: RNAcentral
UCACAGCCAGCAUUGAUGAGCC